RNAcentral lists this ribosomal RNA (119 nucleotides) under Arabis alpina (gray rockcress). The record is from RNAcentral. Lineage: Eukaryota; Viridiplantae; Streptophyta; Magnoliopsida; Brassicales; Brassicaceae.
GGGUGCGAUCAUACCAGCACUAAUGCACCGGAUCCCAUCAGAACUCCGAAGUUAAGCGUGCUUGGGCGAGAGUAGUACUAGGAUGGGUGACCUCUUGGGAAGUCCUCGUGUUGCACCCC